GAUUGUUCUCAAUGUCUUGAACCUCUUGGGCAAGCACAUCAAGAACUUGUGAAUGAAGUCCUCAUCCUUCACUUUCUCACCAAGGCCCUUGAGAUCAUUGAUGAUGACUUGGAGCCUAUAGAACAUCUCCGGUAUAGAUUCAUCAUCCUUCAUCUUGAAGUUGGAUAACUUGUCCUUGAGCAUAUACAAUUUGGCACUUUUUACCGUUGUAGUGCCUUCAUAUGUUUCUUCUAGCCUUGUCCACACUUCACU
RNAcentral lists this long non-coding RNA (252 nucleotides) under Sorghum bicolor (sorghum). RNAcentral describes it as "long non-coding RNA (SBIC_LNC001658)". Lineage: Eukaryota; Viridiplantae; Streptophyta; Magnoliopsida; Poales; Poaceae. The record is from RNAcentral.